AUUUUGGACAAAGAAAGAUAACUCCAAUUAAAAAAAAAUCUUGCUAUUGCACAAUAUUUUGCAAUUAGAUAUUUCUUGCUUACUAUUCUGGACAAAGAAAGAUAACUCUAAUUAAAAAAAAAUUAGCUAUUUCACAAUAUUGUGCAAUUAGAUAUUUCUUGCCAUUGCGCAAUACUGUGCAAUUGAAAAGACUUGCUAUUGCACAAUACUUAAUAUAAU
Molecule: long non-coding RNA, 219 nt
Filed under: Mytilus galloprovincialis (Mediterranean mussel)
Lineage: Eukaryota; Metazoa; Mollusca; Bivalvia; Mytilida; Mytilidae
Source: RNAcentral